Hydra vulgaris (swiftwater hydra) is the source of this 1588-nucleotide long non-coding RNA. RefSeq lists it as uncharacterized. NCBI's taxonomy places the organism in Eukaryota, Metazoa, Cnidaria, Hydrozoa, Anthoathecata, Hydridae. The record is from RefSeq and is a predicted model, not a curated record.
UGAAUGAGUAACUGAGAUAAAGUUCUGAGCCAGUACACGCUUAAAAAUAGUGUGGACAAAAAACACGACACUUAGUGUAGCGUCUUUUUGGCUACACAAAUAGUGUACUUCAAGGCUACACUUGCGCGCUUUAAAGCCACACUUGUAAUUAUGAAAUUAAACUUCAUUAUAUGCGUAAAAAAAGCCACACUUAGUGUGCACUUUGUUGGAUUCUCGUAUCGAAUUAUUCGGAAAGGAGACUAGAAUCAUGUUUUUAGCGACAUGUUUUUUUUUAAGAACCAUUUUCAGUUUUACUGAAAAUUUUAGUUAACUUUUAUUGCUGCAUGGUAAUUUUAAACACAUACAUAGUUAACUUUUUCAUAAAAAAAUAUUUGGUUUGUAAUAUUUUAGUAAUAUCGUAUUAAAUAUGUUAAGCGAGGAAAAUAUCGAUUUUGCAGUUGUUAAAAAUUAGAAGAUGCAGCUUUUCUUGCAUUUAAGGCGCUCCCUUUUCUUAUGAUAGCACCUCCACAGAAGAGCAAGAAGAGUCCAAGAAUUAGGGUAUAUUUUAUAGAGAAAUGGAUGUAAGUUUUUUCUAUGCAUUUUUUUUUUAAGUUAAAUUUGGUUUAUAAUCAAAAAGUAUUACUUUUUUGAGCUUUGAAUUUUCUGCAUUUUUAAAAUUUUACUUAAACAUUUAGGUACACCUCAGUCUUGAAAGCUCCCUUGAGAAUUGAAGAAGGAGAAAGUUUUUCUACUGAUUUUAUUCAAGUGUUGCAGCACUCUAUUUAUAAUUCAAAUUAUAACUCUAAUUAUAAGUCGAUAAUACAGCUAUACGGUUGAAAGCCAUACCGAGUAUUAGAUUUGCUUUUGAGUUGCAGCUAGUCUCUUAUUAUGUAUUUAAUGUCAAUUUUCCUCAUGAACUUAUUUGUGUAUAUAGAUUUAUGGGAAAUUUGCUUGGAAUAAACAACAAAAGAAUUAUCGUCAAUUCCUUUUAAAGAAAGUAUUGCCAAAAGUUUAAGAUUAAAUUAAGCAAUAUGUUUGUGAAACGAAAAAGUAUUUUUAUCACUUUCUUGUUUAUUUUUGUUAUAUCGUCAGCCGAGAACCAAGAGACCGUAUGUCUUUUUUUUUGUGUUUCCAAGAAAAUCAAGUUUCAAAUUUUAAUUUGCAAAGUCUUCCAGAAAAUUCGACUGAUUAUUUAAAUAUUUCCUAAAAUUUUAUUGUUGUGGUAUAUUUAUGAAACACACACUCCUGAAUAUUUAUUGAUAAUGGACAAAAAAAAAAACACAAAAUGUUGAUAUACGAUUCUUCUCUGACGGCGGUAUCUAUUUUUCAAGGUUUUAACUCGCUUUUGCAUAUAAAUGUUUUAAGACUUGUUUUUAAUUUAGUAUUCACUGAAUUGAGUUUGAGUUUGAACUGAGUUUAUAUACUUAAAAGAAAUACUAUAACAAUGUAUUGACUCGGAAUUAAAAUAAAAUUUAUAUUUCAGUUUUUAUUAUUUUAUUGUGAUAUCGUUCCGUUAUUUCUUGUAAGCCAAUAUAAUAUACAUGUGUAAUUUAGUAUGACUCUAAAUGACAAUGUGUAAUUUAUUAUAUGAUAUAAAUAGCAUUCUUUA